CCCCAAGAGAAGUGUCACCGCGCAAGCGU
Molecule: small RNA, 29 nt
Filed under: Bombyx mori (domestic silkworm)
Lineage: Eukaryota; Metazoa; Arthropoda; Insecta; Lepidoptera; Bombycidae
Description: ovarian small RNA-13651
Source: RNAcentral